UGAGACCUCAGGUCAGGCGGGG
RNAcentral lists this ribosomal RNA (22 nucleotides) under Cymbosema roseum. RNAcentral's name for it is "partial large subunit ribosomal RNA". Lineage: Eukaryota; Viridiplantae; Streptophyta; Magnoliopsida; Fabales; Fabaceae. The record is from RNAcentral.